Molecule: ribosomal RNA, 301 nt
Filed under: uncultured bacterium
Lineage: Bacteria
Description: partial 16S ribosomal RNA
Rfam family: Bacterial small subunit ribosomal RNA
Source: RNAcentral
CAGUAGCCGCGGUAAUACGUAGGUGGCAAGCGUUGUCCGGAAUUAUUGGGCGUAAAGGGCUCGCAGGCGGUUUCUUAAGUCUGAUGUGAAAGCCCCCGGCUCAACCGGGGAGGGUCAUCGGAAACUGGGAAACUUGAGUGCAGAAGAGGAGAGUGGAAUUCCACGUGUAGCGGUGAAAUGCGUAGAGAUGUGGAGGAACACCAGUGGCGAAGGCGACUCUCUGGUCUGUAACUGACGCUGAGGAGCGAAAGCUUGGGGAGCAAACAGGAUUAGAUACCCGGGUAGUCCCUGUCUCUUAUAA